RNAcentral lists this ribosomal RNA (468 nucleotides) under uncultured bacterium. RNAcentral describes it as "partial 16S ribosomal RNA". It matches the Rfam family "Bacterial small subunit ribosomal RNA", at positions 28 to 507 of the family's 1533-position model. The record is from RNAcentral.
GACGAACGCUGGCGGCGUGCUUAACACAUGCAAGUCGAACGGAAAGGCCCUGCUUUUUUUGGGUUCUCGUUUUGCGAACUGGUUAGUAACACUUGUGUAACCUGCCCUUUUCUUUUGUAUAACUUCUGGUAACUUGUGCUAAUACCCGAUAUUAUCUCCUUCUUCAUGGUGGGGGUUGGUUAGUUUCGGGGGUUGGGGAUGGUCUCGCCGCCUAUCAGCUUGUUGGUGGGGUAGUGGCUUACCAAGGCUUUGACGGGUAGCAGGCAUGAGAGGGUGACCGGCGAAAUUGGGACUGAGAGACGGACCAGAAUGCUACGGGAGGCAGCAGUGGGGAAUAUUGCACAAUGGGAGGAAGCCUGAUGCAGAAACGCCGCGUGCGGGAUGAAGGCCUUCGGGUUGUAAACCGAUGUAGAAUGUGACGAAGAGUGAGUGACGGUAAUGGGUAAAGAAGCACCGGCUAACUACGUG